AGAGUGUCUGGAGAGGCUGCAGGUUAGUGGAUGUCACAACUUUGGAAUGAAGUUCAGUUGGGAAUGAUCCCUGACACCAAAUCAGCUGCAGGGCUUGGACAAGGUGGAGCAGAAGCAACUUCAGGAGUAUUUAAAUGUUCAGUUCCUGCACCAGGAGGGCCUGAAUUCUUCCCUCCUUGAGGUUCACUGCACCCAGUAGCAUCAGGUUGCAACGGCAUCGCUUGCAGAUGUUUACGGUUCCUGCAUAGGACAGCUCCAUUCUGUGUUUGCACCACUGAACCCUUAGGACAUGUCCUGCUAAGUCAAGCUGUCUCAGGUCCAGGUAUGUUGCGACCCUGACACCCCUUAUGAAGGAUUAUUCGAAGGCUCUCUUGGGUGGUAAAGUUCUCAGGAGGGAUCCAGGAUUGUAUCAAAGUAAAUUGUUGCCUCCCACCUAGCAUCUCUGAUAUUGUUGUGUCUUUGUCUUGGCUCUCUGCUUUCUAUUGUUUUCCCCUGUUGUUUUAUUUUUCAUUGAACGUGGUGAUAACACAUCUGAGGAAUUUUGAAGGUUUGAGCUGGGAAGGUCAUGUGAAAACUUGUCCUUGUAAGUCUGUGGCUGUGCAAGGUGAGAGCUUGUAGUUGAUGUUCUUAACGUUUGCCAUGCUGACUUAGACCUUAAUUUCAUUUUACUGUAUUACAUUCAGUAUUAGGGGCCAUUCACACAGAAUGCGUUUUACCAUUCCACUGUGCUACUUUUCCAUUGUUUUUCAAUGUAAACAUGCAGUAGACGGACGUCUUUAACCACUGCGCUCGCAUCUUGUGUAUUUUGCAGCAUCACGCGCAUGACAGAGUUCUAAAAACGUGGUGCUUAAGUUAAAAUAAGUUCAACUUAUUCAAAGGGGUCUUGGUCCAACUCAGUCGAACUCUGGUGUGGUUCGAUUGAAAUGUGAACGCAACAUGGACCAAAGACAUUUAAACAAACCAAAACAGGACACGAUGCUCAAGCAUACCUGGUUCUUUUCGUCAUAGUCACGAUGUUGUCCAUUACAGUUCGGUACAGGUGUCAGAACCGCUGUCUUCUUGCAGCAGAUCUUUGUUUGUGUGCAAUGGAGGAAUUCCUGGUGCUGUUUUGACUCCUUUACACAUUUUAUAAGCUCUUCAUGAGUUCUCAGCUGGCAAAAAUACCAUCAUAUGUUCACACAUACAACAAGCGCAUUUAGUCCAGAACACAGCAUUGUUUUGGAUGUUCAGCAAGGUCCGUUGUGAAAUAUACAUCAUAAAAGCUGUUUUUUGUUUUGUAUCUUUAGGUUCGAUGUUAAAAAUGAUAAGCUAAGCGAACCAGGACUAAAUUGAUCAUUUUCUUUUUUGGUCCGGACCAAAAGAAACAUAUAUAUUAAAACAAAGUUAAUGAAUUAAAACUAAAUCCAUAAAAUGAUUCCAAGAUGGGAAUCCCUAAAAGGUUCUAUAUAGAACCUUUUCUUCAAGAGUGAGAGUGGACUGUCAUCAGCAGAGAUGAAACUGUUUCUGAAUGUACUGCUUAUGUGCCCUUACCACUUUCAAAAUAUAAAGGAAGAAAUGGUAAUUGAGAUGGGUUUGACAUCUCAUGAUGAAGAGCUUCUUGUCAGCGGAAAUCUGGACUUGCUUUCAGUGCAGCUGUCAUGCAGCAGGUCAAGAUUACACUGACCAGACGGCCCAUUUUCCCUGGGAUGGUCUACUAUUUGAGACUGUUUUAUGUGUUCACUUAUUUCAGAUGUGUUCUGUACUUUAUCAAAGACUAUAGAAUAACACAAGACGCAUCACUCUUAUUGUUUUGAAUGGGAGAAAGAGCAACGCGCAAUAUCGCGGAAUAAGUCCCGCCUUCUAAAUAAGAGCCAAUCGCCGAUUGGUAAAGUCAUCGCGUCACUGCAGCGGCCGUUAGAAGCUCCGGUUCCUAUAGAAACAGUCAGACGCGCGCCUCCGAGAUGAGACGCGAGACGCGCAUUUAGAACUGCGCGUGCGCAUUAGCUUGAUCUAGCCUGAAUAAUACCGUUUUUUUUGUCAUGAUUCGAGUGUUUAAAAACAAAAUUUAUGAGACAGUUGUUGUCAGAUUUCAUUUGUGAUUUCAAAUAUAAAAUUUAAUCGAAAGCUUGGCAAACAGCUUUGGAGAAUUUGAUGUUUCCCCAUUCAAAGAGAUAGGAGCUACGCUUGAAUGCCGAGAGGCGUUUCAAAGAUGGCCGCCGAGUGAAACGACUUGUCUUAAAGGGACUUUGACUUUAUAACAGUAUUCAUUUCUUGUCUAUUCAUUACAGUUAUUUCAAGCAUAUUUUAUCCUGUGGGUAUAAAACACACUGUCAUACUAUAUUUUAGUCUCCUGACAUUAACCCAUUCACAAUAAUUACAUAACCACACCAGUUAGAAAAUGCAGAGUGUUUUCUCUUAAGUAUUUUAUCCAGUAUGUCAUCUCUCAUGUAUGUCAUAGAACUGCUUUACAAU
This is a long non-coding RNA of Ctenopharyngodon idella (grass carp), 2451 nucleotides long. RefSeq lists it as uncharacterized. NCBI's taxonomy places the organism in Eukaryota, Metazoa, Chordata, Actinopteri, Cypriniformes, Xenocyprididae. The record is from RefSeq and is a predicted model, not a curated record. The transcript is spliced from 4 exons.